ACUGAUGUAUACUAUGUUUUCAAGAAGUUUGACCAUAAAGGAAAACAGACAUGGAAGCCACUUGAAGGGAAAAGGAUGUCAGGAAGGUACCUGUAAACUUGGGAUAAACAUCAUGCCAGAUGAGGCUGCAGAUCUUUCAGAAUCUUCUGAAAGAUUCUGUAUUAAUCUAAACCAAGGAAAAUGUGGCCACUUUCAUAGGCAAUCAGUCAAGUUUUCUAGCAGCAAAUUUACCCAUUGA
RNAcentral lists this long non-coding RNA (238 nucleotides) under Homo sapiens (human). RNAcentral's name for it is "long non-coding RNA NONHSAT220979". The record is from RNAcentral. Lineage: Eukaryota; Metazoa; Chordata; Mammalia; Primates; Hominidae.